Molecule: unclassified non-coding RNA, 1635 nt
Filed under: Hevea brasiliensis (rubber tree)
Lineage: Eukaryota; Viridiplantae; Streptophyta; Magnoliopsida; Malpighiales; Euphorbiaceae
Source: RNAcentral
UACAGACUCAUAUAUCGAUUAUCGAACAUCAAGAAACAUCUAGACCUCGACGCUCACUUCAGAAUAGUCAAAUUUUCCUAGUACAAUGAUGAGAGGGUACAAAAUGAAACUGGUAACAAAAUUCCAUACAUUUAACACAAUACAUGGAUGAUAAUGGAUGCUCCAUUUCCCUGAUGACCUUGUAAGAAGAAACACAGUAGUUAUCUCAGACAACCCUGGACUGCACCACACUGCAGAAGCCGGUUGUUGCAAUGUCCAAUGGCUUAAGAAUGUCUACUUCUAUCCCAGCUCCAUAAACAGGUUGCCUAUACUUGUUUAUAGAAUAGAACGUAAGCUUGAUCAUGCAGCACUCUGUUGGUGGUGACAGCAGUAACAGAGGCAUCAUCAAACCGCAACCACUUCCCACUCUGGUGACGACAAUCAGCAGUGUAAUGCCCCUUAGAAGCUUCCCUACCGUGGUGGGUGAUUGUGGACACAAGUUGAUAUUGUCGACCCUCAGUAGUCGAAGAAGCAAGCAAAUCACGGCUUAUCACUAGUUCCAGAGGAAAAUGCACCGGUUUAAGCAAUUUGGUACUUCCAUAGCUUCCAUAACCAAACCGCUUCAGGUGCAAAAUCAUCAUCUUAGGCAGUGUCUGUAUGCUUAUGGAUUUCCUAGCAGUAGACACUCCAACCUUUCCUGCGGCAGUUCUAUAUCCCUCAAGUGUCUCGGGGGCAGAAAAUAGGCGGAGAGCAUCUUGAAUGUUAUGAACAGCUUCGUGUGAAAUGUCAAGAUGGACCACCAAAAAUGGUUGAACUGUCGCAGAGGCUUUGUUCCCUCUCGCUUUAACAAGGCUCUUCAACUGCCCCCCAAAAAUGGCACUCAAAUUUGAAGGAACGAAGUCCUGAGUUCUUGUGACUGCAGAUUUGUUCUUUGGCCCAACAGUUUCCCAUUCCUCAUCGUCUUCCGAUGAAACAACAGAAGAAUUUUUCCCACUUGAACAUGAUUGCCCUUCAAGCUUUAGUAAUUCACCAUGCAUCUGAUCCAUUACAAAACUCAGGAACUCCUGUGCAUCUUCUUGUCUUGGUCUGCCAGAAAUGGACUUAGGCACAUCAGGAGUAAAUUUCUUCAGAACUGCGUCAAACAUUGCUGGGCUGAAGGGAGUACCAACUUCAACACUGGUUGCAUCUUUCUUCAUUGAACUUGUAGGACUAGGUACAACAAACUGAGAAAGAAACCCCACAAAUGCAGCUAAUGUUGGAUACUCAGCCUUGGAAAUACUGAGUAUCCUUAGCUUUAGCAAAAGCUCAACAAAAGGAGAACAGGACAAAAGAGCUUGUAAUGUAGCAUUAAGGAAGCAUAAGUUCCCUGGGUUGAUUAAACCACGAGGUAGCAAGCCCGCAACAUCAAGAGGACCACUAGAUACCUCUGGGAGGGCCUCUUCUGAAUGUAAAAUUUUUGCUGAAUUGCUAGUGGUCCCAUUCAAUUUUCCUUUACUGAGUAGUGCAUCAUCAUCUCGUCCAGUAGUUCUAGACAACUUGUUGAUGGCUUUAGCCUCAUCUUCCAACACACAUAAAUUGCUCAAGUCAAUAUUGUGUGCCAUUGCAGAUUCUUCAUGUCCAUUGAUGUAGUAAUCAUUGUGGACAUCUCCAUUCUGA